Aedes albopictus (Asian tiger mosquito) is the source of this 2594-nucleotide long non-coding RNA. RefSeq lists it as uncharacterized. The record is from RefSeq and is a predicted model, not a curated record. The transcript has 2 exons. Lineage: Eukaryota; Metazoa; Arthropoda; Insecta; Diptera; Culicidae.
UUUUAUGCCAAACGAUAUUAUGCCUAGUGACCAUUAUGCCAAACGGGGUAGACACCUGAUCUUUAUUUUCACAUACACAUUCAUCACAAUACUCAAGGUGCUCGUACACUCUUUGCUCAGACGUCAACUAUUUGACCACUUUUGACAAAUAAAUUUUGACAAGUUGUUUGGCCCUAUUUUUCCCUAUUCAUUUUUCGAAAGUGACAAAUAUUUUUGUUUGCCCAGUACACCUUGAUCAAAAUUUAACUGCCAGAAGUGGUCAAAUAUUUGGCAUUGGUCAAAUAGUAAAAUAUUAGCUUAAUACGCAAAUCGGCGACAUUAGCAUGUUUUCUCUUGUUUUCCUUAACCUUCCUAGCGCAUUGAAUGUCGCAGCCUGUGUUCAGUUGGCAACACAAAAUUACCCCAAUGAAUGCUAAAAAUUGCUGCAAACGAGAAUCUUAUUCGCUGACUUGGAAUGAUGGCACUCUGUCAAAAUACUGUCGAACCAAUGCUAAACACAUUGGAAACUUUAAUAGCAUUAUACAUUCAUAGUUUUCAAAUUGUUUCACUAUUAGUUUUAAACUGUUGAACGAAAAUUGUUUGGGGAGAAGUCAAUUGUCAAUUUAUGUAAAAGGCAAGAAAUUGUAAGACAGUCGGUUACAACAAAUUUACUACUGAAUUCAAGUAUGUGACGUGAAUCAUUUUAUUACAGAGAAAUUGAUAGCACUGAUCGACAGAGUCGAAAAAAUGAGUUAAGAAAACGUUUGAAGUAGACGAAUUUGAUGGACCUAGUCGAUAUGUUGGCGAAGUUUUAGAAAUCAUUCAACAAUUUAUUUUCAAGAAUGUCCAUUGUAGAAGCAAUCGCACCUUUAAGUUUCAGACAAGUUGCAACAAAUGGAUAUGUUCCUAAUGUCUACCUCACUGAUUUGUUUAUCUCGUUCCACCGCCGAUCAGUGCCAUUGUUAUCACAGCGACACCAAUCCACUGUUUGCCAAUGUACCUGCUACUCGUUUUUUUUACACAAAUACGUUCCACAAUCGAGUUCACUCGUUAGACGGGAAUUUGUCUAAAUUGUAACAAUGACCAGCCAAAGUUAUAAAUCGAUAAUUGUCCAUAAUUUAUAGGUAAAUAAUGCAUUCACGGUGAUUUGCGAAUUGAAGUUAUUUUUUUUUUAAUUUGCUUUGGAUCGUUCAGAAACUAUAAAUGGAAGAUGGCAGUAUUGCUCUCGUAAUUGUUUCUUGUUCUUUCUUAUCAUACCCUCGAUAACAUUUACGGACUGCGAUCGGAUAAUCAGUUGAACAUUAGGUUUAAGUGGAAUUACCCUCAGUGUACCAGUAGUCGCUCACGAGCUUUGAAAUGAAGUUUAUUGGCAAAACUACAAUCUUUAUUGCACAUGCAAGCCGAAUAAUACCCAGGUGAAGAGGAUUGGACGUAUUUAUGCCAAAAAAACAUAAUUAUGACGGUAAGCAUCUACUGGCUUGGCACAUUGACGGUACUUUCGAGAACACUAGUUCUGAACCGAAUUUAUCCGAAAACUCGCUUAUCAUCAACUCUUAGAGUCCCAAAUUGAGAACAAGCAAUCCUUAUGCAAAUAGUGGAAUGGGUUCGAAGAUAAGACUCAAUGUCUACAAAAUUCUCUAUGACUGGUAGCUUUAAAAACAUGCAUAGAAUGCAAACAUCUUAUUAUAGAAAGGAGAGUAUGAUUUGUUGGGGUAUGGUAGACACAGGCUUUAAAGGAUGCUGUAAAUGUAAUUAAAAAAGAACGAUCCUGUAAAUAUGAUGAUAACUCCGACGGUUAAGUUCAACAUGAAAGACUUAUUUAUUCUAACUAAGUGAAAUAGGCAUGGAAUUAAAAAUCAGAUGUUCUAAUAACAAAUUAUACAUAUUUCGAGGUAUAAAUAUUCAUUUAAAAUAAAUUUUGUUUACUUUUUGAUUCAAAUUUCACUUUUAUCAUACAUUAAGAAGUAUGCGGUAAAUCCACAAACAACAUGAACAAUUCGACAAUAAUUUUUCAUAAGGGCCUAACUGAUUUGAUCGAUUUCUCUUCGUCGACUCUCUUUUUCGCAAAUAACUUGAUCAAAACAAACAAAAUCAUUAUUCUUUUUGUUUCUAUAGCAACAUGCAGUCGUCUUCUUCACAUUUCAACCAAAAAAUCUUUGGAAAACUCAAUACACAUUCUGUGAUAACACAAAGAGAGGAUCGAUGAAGAGAACUCGAAAAUGUCAGUUAGGCCCAAAUGAAAAAUCAGUGUCGAAUUGUGACUUAUAUUUUCUUAAAAUCUGCAUCUGAAAAAAAACUUGAUCAACUAUUAGUUAUUUUAUAGGAAUUCUUAGUUUUUUCAACAUAUUUAUACCUCGGAAUGUCGCCUUUUUUAAUUGUGGUGUAUGCAGCGUCAUAUCAGUUGAUGAAAAAUUGUCAUCAGUUGGUUUUGGACGUGAAAGGGACAGGAUGUAGAGAAUAAUUAGGCGAGGAAAUAAUUGAACUGGUAUACAGAAAUCAUUUCAAAUUCCAAAACAAAACCAUUAACCAAACAAGUAAAAAUAACAUGCUAACUAUCACUAUGUUAAUUUGUCCAAAAGUGAAUAUAUUAUUCAACUUAUAAGAAAACUAACAAA